CCCCUACGGGAGGCAGCAGUGAGGAAUAUUUCACAAUGAGCGAAAGCUUGAUGGAGCAAUGCCGCGUGCAGGAUGAAGGCCCUCGGGUUGUAAACCUCUGUUAGCAGGGAAGAAGAGAGAUUGACGGUACCUGCAGAGAAAGCGCCGGCUAACUACGUGCCAGCAGCCGCGGUAAUGGGG
Molecule: ribosomal RNA, 180 nt
Filed under: uncultured bacterium
Lineage: Bacteria
Description: partial 16S ribosomal RNA
Rfam family: Bacterial small subunit ribosomal RNA
Source: RNAcentral